RNAcentral lists this ribosomal RNA (265 nucleotides) under Enterobacter asburiae. Its description in RNAcentral is "partial 16S ribosomal RNA". It matches the Rfam family "Bacterial small subunit ribosomal RNA", at positions 1258 to 1522 of the family's 1533-position model. The record is from RNAcentral. Lineage: Bacteria; Pseudomonadati; Pseudomonadota; Gammaproteobacteria; Enterobacterales; Enterobacteriaceae.
CGAGAGCAAGCGGACCUCAUAAAGUGCGUCGUAGUCCGGAUUGGAGUCUGCAACUCGACUCCAUGAAGUCGGAAUCGCUAGUAAUCGUAGAUCAGAAUGCUACGGUGAAUACGUUCCCGGGCCUUGUACACACCGCCCGUCACACCAUGGGAGUGGGUUGCAAAAGAAGUAGGUAGCUUAACCUUCGGGAGGGCGCUUACCACUUUGUGAUUCAUGACUGGGGUGAAGUCGUAACAAGGUAACCGUAGGGGAACCUGCGGUUGGA